Molecule: ribosomal RNA, 1195 nt
Filed under: uncultured organism
Description: bacterial SSU rRNA
Rfam family: Bacterial small subunit ribosomal RNA
Source: RNAcentral
UUAGCUAGAUGGUAAGGUAACGGCUUACCAUGGCUAUGAUGGUUAGGGGUUCUGCAAGGAAGAUCCCCCACACUGGUACUGAGACACGGACCAGACUCCUACGGGAGGCAGCAGUGAGGAAUAUUGGUCAAUGGAGGCAACUCUGAACCAGCCAAGCCGCGUGAAGGAAGACUGUUCUAUGAAUUGUAAACUUCUUUUGUGACAGAGUAAAGAUAGCUACGUGUAGUUGUUUGCAAGUAUGUCAUGAAUAAGCAUCGGCUAACUCCGUGCCAGCAGCCGCGGUAAUACGGAGGAUGCAGGCGUUAUCCGGAUUUAUUAGGUUUAAAGGGUGUUCAGGCUGUCUGGUAAGUCAGAGGUGAAAGUCGGUUGCUUAACGAUCGAAUUGCCUUUGGAACUGUCAGACUUGAGUAUGGAUGUGGUAGGCGGAAUGUGUAGUGUAGCGGUGAAAUGCAUAGAUAUUACACAGAACUCCAAUUGCGAAGGCAGCUUACCAAACCAGCACUGACGCUGAAGCACGAAAGCGUGGGUAGCGAACAGGAUUAGAUACCCUGGUAGUCCACGCAGUAAACGAUGCUCACUCGCUGUUGGCAAUACACCGUCAGCGGCUAAGGGAAACCGAUAAGUGAGCCACCUGGGGAGUACGAUCGCAAGAUUGAAACUCAAAGGAAUUGACGGGGGCCCGCACAAGCGGUGGAACAUGUGGUUUAAUUCGAUGAUACGCGAGGAACCUUACCUGGGCUUAAAUGUGAAGUGCAUUGUUUGGAAACAGACAUUUCCUUCGGGACUCUUUACAAGGUGCUGCAUGGUUGUCGUCAGCUCGUGCCGUGAGGUGUCGGGUUAAGUCCCAUAACGAGCGCAACCCCUAUUGUUAGUUACCAGCGCGUAAAGGCGGGGACUCUAACGAGACUGCCGGUGUAAACCGCGAGGAAGGUGGGGAUGACGUCAAAUCAGCACGGCCCUUAUGUCCAGGGCUACACACGUGUUACAAUGGUCGGUACAGAGGGCAGCUAGACAGCAAUGUCAAGCGAAUCUCAAAAGCCGAUCCCAGUUCGGAUUGGAGUCUGCAACCCGACUCCAUGAAGGUGGAAUCGCUAGUAAUCGCGCAUCAGCCAUGGCGCGGUGAUACGUUCCCGGGCCUUGUACACACCGCCCGUCAAGCCAUGGAAGUCUGGGGUGCCCGAAGGCCGUAACCGCA